Molecule: transfer RNA, 72 nt
Filed under: Camelus ferus (Wild Bactrian camel)
Lineage: Eukaryota; Metazoa; Chordata; Mammalia; Artiodactyla; Camelidae
Rfam family: tRNA
About the family: Transfer RNA (tRNA) molecules are approximately 80 nucleotides in length. Their secondary structure includes four short double-helical elements and three loops (D, anti-codon, and T loops). Further hydrogen bonds mediate the characteristic L-shaped molecular structure. tRNAs have two regions of fundamental functional importance: the anti-codon, which is responsible for specific mRNA codon recognition, and the 3' end, to which the tRNAs corresponding amino acid is attached (by aminoacyl-tRNA synthetases). tRNAs cope with the degeneracy of the genetic code in two manners: having more than one tRNA (with a specific anti-codon) for a particular amino acid; and 'wobble' base-pairing, i.e. permitting non-standard base-pairing at the 3rd anti-codon position.
Source: Rfam by way of RNAcentral
GGUGGUAUAGCUCAGUGGUAGAGUGCAUGCCUAGCAUGCACAAGAUCCUGGGGUCGAUUCCCAGUACCUCCA